This is a non-coding RNA of Dipodomys ordii (Ord's kangaroo rat), 45 nucleotides long. NCBI's taxonomy places the organism in Eukaryota, Metazoa, Chordata, Mammalia, Rodentia, Heteromyidae. The record is from Rfam.
CCAAAGGCUCUUUUAAGAGCCCUACAUCCACUCAUUCCCUAAUAG